GAUGAACGCUGGCGGCGUGCCUAAUACAUGCAAGUAGAACGCUGAAGGAGGAGCUUGCUCUUCUGGAUGAGUUGCGAACGGGUGAGUAACGCGUAGGUAACCUGCCUGGUAGCGGGGGAUAACUAUUGGAAACGAUAGCUAAUACCGCAUGACAACAGUUAUUGCAUGAUAACUGUUUAAAAGGGGCAACUGCUCCACUACCAGAUGGACCUGCGUUGUAUUAGCUAGUUGGUGAGGUAACGGCUCACCAAGGCGACGAUACAUAGCCGACCUGAGAGGGUGAUCGGCCAACCUGGGACUGAGACACGGCCCAGACUCCUACGGGAGGCAGCAGUAGGGAAUCUUCGGAAAUGGACGGAAGUCUGACCGAGCAACGCCGCGUGAGUGAAGAAGGUUUUCGGAUCGUAAAGCUCUGUUGUAAGAGAAGAACGAGUGUGAGAGUGGAAAGUUCACACUGUGACGGUAUCUUACCAGAAAGGGACGGCUAACUACGUG
Molecule: ribosomal RNA, 495 nt
Filed under: uncultured bacterium
Lineage: Bacteria
Description: partial 16S ribosomal RNA
Rfam family: Bacterial small subunit ribosomal RNA
Source: RNAcentral